This 328-nucleotide ribosomal RNA is filed under the name uncultured eukaryote. Its description in RNAcentral is "partial 18S ribosomal RNA". It matches the Rfam family "Eukaryotic small subunit ribosomal RNA", at positions 1470 to 1796 of the family's 1831-position model. The record is from RNAcentral.
CCCUUAGACGUCCUGGGCCGCACGCGCGUUACACUGAUGCAUUCAACGAGCUUAUAACCUUGGCCGAGAGGCCUGGGCAAUCUUGUUAACGUGCAUCGUGAUAGGGAUAGAUUAUUGAAAUUAUUAAUCUUGAACGAGGAAUUCCUAGUAAACGCAGAUCAUCAAUCUGCAUUGAUUACGUCCCUGCCCUUUGUACACACCGCCCGUCGCACCUACCGAUUGGAUGGUCCGGUGAAGCCUCGGGAUUGUGGUUCUUGCCGCUUUAUUGUAGCGUGACCGCGAGAACUUGUCUAAACCUUAUCAUCUAGAGGAAGGUGAAGUCGUAACA